Molecule: small nucleolar RNA, 138 nt
Organism: Tachyglossus aculeatus (Australian echidna)
Lineage: Eukaryota; Metazoa; Chordata; Mammalia; Monotremata; Tachyglossidae
Source: RefSeq, a predicted model, not a curated record
CACCUCUCAGGGUCUCACCUGGAGAGUUUCCAGUACUUUACCAGUCUUGGCUAAGAGAAGGAGAGUAAAACAGAAGCAUACCCAUUCCAUUCCUAGCCUGGGCAGCGGCUAGCGAGUGGAAGGCAAUCUGCUACAAGU